RNAcentral lists this ribosomal RNA (468 nucleotides) under uncultured bacterium. RNAcentral describes it as "partial 16S ribosomal RNA". It matches the Rfam family "Bacterial small subunit ribosomal RNA", at positions 28 to 507 of the family's 1533-position model. The record is from RNAcentral.
GACGAACGCUGGCGGCGUGCUUAACACAUGCAAGUCGAACGGAAAGGCCCUGCUUUUGUGGGGUGCUCGAGUGGCGAACGGGUGAGUAACACGUGAGUAACCUGCCCUUGACUUUGGGAUAACUUCAGGAAACUGGGGCUAAUACCGGAUAGGAGCUCCUGCUGCACGGGGGGGGUUGGAAAGUUUCGGCGGUUGGGGAUGGACUCGCGGCUUAUCCGCUUGUUGGUGAGGUAGUGGCUUACCAAGGCUUUGACGGGUAGCCGGCCUGAGAGGGUGACCAGCCACAUUGGGACUGAGAUACGGCGCAGACUCCAACGGGAGGCAGCAGUGGGGAAUAUUGCGCAAUGGGCGGAAGCCUGAUGCAGCAACGCCGCGUGCGGGAUGACGGCCUUCGGGUUGUAAACCGAUUUCGCCUGUGACGAAGCGUGAGUGACGGUAAUGGGUAAGAAAGCACCGGCUAACUACGUG